This 524-nucleotide ribosomal RNA is filed under the name uncultured bacterium. RNAcentral describes it as "partial 16S ribosomal RNA". It matches the Rfam family "Bacterial small subunit ribosomal RNA", at positions 28 to 523 of the family's 1533-position model. The record is from RNAcentral.
GACGAACGCUGGCGGCGUGCCUAAUACAUGCAAGUCGAACGAAGCUGUUUUAACUGGUGCUUGCACCGACUUAAACAACUGAGUGGCGAACGGGUGAGUAACACGUGGGUAACCUGCCCCAAAGCGGGGGAUAACAUUUGGAAACAGAUGCUAAUACCGCAUAACCACAGAAACCACAUGGUUUCUGUGUCAAAGAUGGUUUCAGCUAUCACUUUGGGAUGGACCCGCGGCGUAUUAGCUAGUUGGUAAGGUAAUGGAUUACCAAGGCAAUGAUACGUAGCCGAACUGAGAGGCUGAUCGGCCACAUUGGGACUGAGACACGGCCCAAACUCCUACGGGAGGCAGCAGUAGGGAAUCUUCCACAAUGGACGAAAGUCUGAUGGAGCAACGCCGCGUGAGUGAAGAAGGUUUUCGGAUCGUAAAACUCUGUUGUCAGAGAAGAACGUGUGCGAGAGUAACUGCUCGUGCAGUGACGGUAUCUGGCCAGAAAGCCACGGCUAACUACGUGCCAGCCGCCGCCGUAA